Molecule: ribosomal RNA, 253 nt
Filed under: uncultured bacterium
Lineage: Bacteria
Description: partial 16S ribosomal RNA
Rfam family: Bacterial small subunit ribosomal RNA
Source: RNAcentral
UACGAAGGGGGCUAGCGUUGCUCGGAAUCACUGGGCGUAAAGGGUGCGUAGGCGGGUCUUUAAGUCAGGGGUGAAAUCCUGGAGCUCAACUCCAGAACUGCCUUUGAUACUGAAGAUCUUGAGUUCGGGAGAGGUGAGUGGAACUGCGAGUGUAGAGGUGAAAUUCGUAGAUAUUCGCAAGAACACCAGUGGCGAAGGCGGCUCACUGGCCCGAUACUGACGCUGAGGCACGAAAGCGUGGGGGAGCAACAGG